This 516-nucleotide ribosomal RNA is filed under the name uncultured bacterium. Its description in RNAcentral is "bacterial SSU rRNA". It matches the Rfam family "Bacterial small subunit ribosomal RNA", at positions 21 to 518 of the family's 1533-position model. The record is from RNAcentral.
GGCUCAGAACGAACGCUGGCGGCGUGCUUAACACAUGCAAGUCGAACGCGAAAGGGACUUCGGUCCUGAGUAAAGUGGCGCACGGGUGAGUAACCCGUAGAUAACCUGUCUUCAUGUCUGGAAUAAUACGCCAAAGGGGUACUAAUACCGGAUAUUCUUGCUUUUCAUAAGUUAUGCAAGCAAAGGUGGCCUCUGCAUAUGCUACUGCAUGAAGAGGGGUCUGCGUACCAUUAGCUAGUAGGUGGGGUAAUGGCCUACCUAGGCGACGAUGGUUAGCGGGUCUGAGAGGAUGAUCCGCCACACUGGCACUGGAACACGGGCCAGACUCCUACGGGAGGCAGCAGUGAGGAAUAUUGCGCAAUGGGGGAAACCCUGACGCAGCGACGCCGCGUGAGUGAGGAAGGCCUUCGGGUCGUAAAGCUCUGUCAAGAGGAAAGAAGUGUACAAUGGCUAAUACCUGUUGUAUUUGACGGUACCUCUAAAGGAAGCACCGGCUAACUCCGUGCCAGCCGCGGC